CAGUAAAUAGGUGAAAUUAGGAAUUACACGUAAUUACUAAACAUUUCAGUAAAUACCUGUAAUUACUAGCCAAUUUAGUAAUUACAUGUAUUUACUAUUUGUUUCAGUGAUUACUGGUAAUUACUGAUUUUUUUUUUGUCAUUUUUACAGCUAUUUACUAACUUGAUGUUUUUGUUUUAAAAUUUAAAAAAACAUUACUCAAGAUACCAAAUAAGAAAGUAAAGAGGUAGGGAUUUUAAGGGAGCUUACUUGGGGAUGUAGGAAUAGAAGGCACAUCAAAAGUGCAUACUCUUUAGUGUUUGUGAAUUGAAACUGGAAAAUGGUUGUUUUAUAGGUCUUUUAACUCAGUAAAUAUAUGCAUGCAAGACAAUGAUAUCAAUUCAAAAUUGAUUUUCAUAAUUUUGUUAAACUAAAAUCUCAAUCAUGCACUGUGGUUUAAAAUUUUAAAAUAACUUUCUCCAAAUAUCUUGGAUUUCUAUCAAACUUGGACAGAAGCUAAAUGUUUAUGAUCAUAAGAUAAUAUCCGAAAGUAAAGAUUUAAAAAAAAAAUCCUUUUUUUUUCCCUAUAUUACUUAUAAACAUGAUAAAUAGACUAGUUUUUUUCCCCCCAGUUAUCAUAACAUACACUCUGCAGUUAAAGUUUUUAAAACAUUAGAUUUUAUAAACUAUCCUGGAUUUUUACCCAAUUUUGACAGAAGCUUCUUAUAGUACUAGUCAAAAGAUAGUAUCUAGAGGAAAAUUUUAAUAUUUUUUCCUUAAUUUUUGUUGAGCCUGCGAUUAACAGCAAAAGUAGGCGAGACUAUUUGUUCUGCAAAACCCUUACAAUUUUAAUAGCUUAAUACAUCGAUAACCCAUCUUCAGCUAGGUGUUGAAUUGAAGGUCACAUGAAUACAAUCAUAUUCAAUGAGGUCCAAAUAUUCACUCGCAAGUGCACAACUCAUUAACCUUGUUUCUCAGCUAAUUUAACAAAAUAGAACAAGAUUGGCUACUAACAGUGAAUUAUAAUUUCACUAUAUCAUUUUUAUAAAUGAUUUAACAAAAAAAAAUAUCUCGAAGCUAAUGCACAUAACAGUUCAUUCCAGUUCCUAACCUUCACAACGUUAUCUGAUCGUUAUAAGGUAAUAAGUCUAAAUAUUCUUCAAACUCAAAGAUUUUUUGAAAAAAGUUAAAACAUAAUGCUUUAGGAGAAUUUUCCAUAUCUGAUUUCCAUGUCUGCUGAAAUUGGUCAAAAUUAUCUGUAUAAUGCUCAACUUUAACCAUUUUGGAUUCAAACUAAAGUUACCCUGAUUUCACCAAAUAUUUGAAAGUCUAUAUUUAUUCAAGAUAUUUUGAAUACAAAUCAACCAUU
This 1348-nucleotide long non-coding RNA is filed under the name Mytilus galloprovincialis (Mediterranean mussel). Lineage: Eukaryota; Metazoa; Mollusca; Bivalvia; Mytilida; Mytilidae. The record is from RNAcentral.